Molecule: ribosomal RNA, 326 nt
Filed under: uncultured eukaryote
Lineage: Eukaryota
Description: partial 18S ribosomal RNA
Rfam family: Eukaryotic small subunit ribosomal RNA
Source: RNAcentral
CCCUUAGAUGUUCUGGGCUGCACGCGCGCUACACUGAUGCACUCAACGAGUUUACGACCUUGCCCGAUAGGGUUGGGUAAUCUUUUUAAAAUGCAUCGUGAUGGGGAUAGAUUAUUGCAAUUAUUAAUCUUCAACGAGGAAUUCCUAGUAAGCGCGAGUCAUCAGCUCGUGCUGAUUACGUCCCUGCCCUUUGUACACACCGCCCGUCGCUCCUACCGAUUGAGUGCUCAGGUGAAUAAUUCGAACUGCAGCAAUGUUUGGAUCCCGAACGUUGCAGCGGAAAGUUUAGUGAACCUUAUCACUUAGAGGAAGGAGAAGUCGUAACA